AACGAACGCUGGCGGCAUGCCUAACACAUGCAAGUCGAACGGGAUCCUAGCUUGCUAGGUGAGAGUGGCGGACGGGUGAGUAACACGUGGGAAUCUGCCUUUUGGUUCGGGAUAACCGCGGGAAACUGCGGCUAAUACCGAAUGCCCUCGAGAGAGGAAAGAUUUAUCGCCAGAAGAGGAGCCCGCGUCCGAUUAGGUAGUUGGUGGGGUAAAGGCCUACCAAGCCGACGAUCGGUAGCUGGUCUGAGAGGAUGAUCAGCCACACUGGGACUGAGAUACGGCCCAGACUCCUACGGGAGGCAGCAGU
Molecule: ribosomal RNA, 307 nt
Filed under: uncultured bacterium
Lineage: Bacteria
Description: bacterial SSU rRNA
Rfam family: Bacterial small subunit ribosomal RNA
Source: RNAcentral